AUGGAUCUCCCCGACGAGUUGCUCCACGAGGUCCUCCGGCGCGUCCCCCCGCGACGCCUCGCCGCCUGCCGGCGCGUCUGCAGGAACUGGCGCGACGCCAUAGACGGCCGCGGGCUGGUGCUCGAGCACCUCGCGCCGGGCCCUCUGCGCGGCAUCUUCGUCGACUUCUUCGACAACUUCUUCGACAACAGAAGGCACGGCUUCUUCUCCCGCGCCGCCACACCGCCGAUCGACGGUUCGCUCGGAUUCCUGCCGAACACAUCGCGGGCGUGGAGGGAGUGGAAUCGUCAUUGUAACAUCUCGGAUCACUGCAACGGCCUCAUCCUAUUCCGGAACGGAAGGGCCACGUACGUGUGCAACCCGUGGACACGGCGGUGGGCGAAGCUGCCGUGGCCGGCCGCAGGCUUCCCCCACGGUCGUGGGCACCUCGUGUUCGAUCCAACCUUGUCGCUGCACUACCGCGUGAUGUGCUUCCCCGGGGUGCCUAAAAGGCCAUCGCCACCCGUUUAUCCACCGCCUGCCAAGAAACCCCGCGGCAGAUAUUCGUUGGUGACCUGGACUAGUACUUAUGUUGAGAACCUGCCCUUGUCUCUAAGGGAGAGCUACGAACAAGAAGUGGAGAGCAUGGGCUCGAUGGAGUGGCCGCCGUACUCGUAUGCCGUGCAGAUGUUCUCGUCGGCAACCGGCCAAUGGGAGGACAGGCACUUUGUCAGACAAGGCGAUGCAGUGACUACCGUGUCUGGGAUGUGGUCCAAUCCGCUGGCUGACGGUGUGCAUGGGUGUCACACCGCCGUGUGCUGGCAAGGAGCAUUCUACAUCAUACGUUCUGGUGGAUUCAUCAUGAGGUUUUCAUUGUUGGAGGACAAGUAUGUAACGAUCAAAACACCAACAUUGGCACAAAAAUUAGCAUCACAUACUAACGACUACGGGUAUCGCAUUAGGCCAUGUCUGUAUUUGGGGAAAUCCAAGCAGGGACUCUACCUCACAGCUCACGAGGGAUAUGAACUUCGGAUAUGGAUAAUGCACGGCGUAUCAGAAUCAUGUCAUAUGCCGGAAUGGGAGCUGAAGCAUCAAGUUGACUUCAAGCCCUCCUUUUCACGGUUCUACACCUCAAAUAACACCAGAAAGGAGGUUGAAUCCUGGAUUUUAGACAUUUCGGAGGAAGGAUUAAACGACAGAGGAGACCAGGGAUGGGACUCUGAAGAUGAUAGCAUCAUUGACGCGGAGGGAGGGAUUGGUAACAACCUGCAGGGCGAGACAAAGAAAUGUUAUGGUGUUCACUUGUUGGGGUAUCAUCCUUGCAAGGAAAUUAUUUUCUUGGGAAACCGUUACAACGGGUUUGCUUACUACCUUGGAAGCUCGAAGUUGCAGUACUUGGGUAAACUUUACCCAGCAGGCGAUACUCUUCUCAUCAUGAUGUCAUAUAUCACCUCGUUUAUCUAUACUCCAUGCAAGGAUGAUUUGCUUCCUGCUCAAAAUGAUCGAUGA
RNAcentral lists this ribosomal RNA (1488 nucleotides) under Triticum aestivum (bread wheat). Its description in RNAcentral is "partial small subunit ribosomal RNA". Lineage: Eukaryota; Viridiplantae; Streptophyta; Magnoliopsida; Poales; Poaceae. The record is from RNAcentral.